AUCUGUGGUUCUGCAGAAGAGACACACCUAUUGCAGGGAAAGAAGAGGACACUGCGCAGAUUGCAAGCGGUGCGUGUGGAUGCUGUACCGUGGUCCAGGCGGCCUGAUUAAGCAGGAGUCUGUGCAUGGGAGGUGGAAUUGGACACCAUGGCCGUGCAGCUGGUGCCGGACUCUGCUCUCAGCCUGCUAAUGCCAGACUGGCAUCCAAAAGCAGCCCUCACAAGGACUUUGCAAAUGUGACUAAGGUAUGGACCCCUGAGAUAGGAAAGAUUGCCUAGCAAUCCGGCUCGACCA
This is a long non-coding RNA of Dipodomys spectabilis (banner-tailed kangaroo rat), 294 nucleotides long. RefSeq lists it as uncharacterized. The transcript has 3 exons. The record is from RefSeq and is a predicted model, not a curated record. Lineage: Eukaryota; Metazoa; Chordata; Mammalia; Rodentia; Heteromyidae.